This 31-nucleotide non-coding RNA is filed under the name Homo sapiens (human). Lineage: Eukaryota; Metazoa; Chordata; Mammalia; Primates; Hominidae. The record is from RNAcentral.
UAGACUAGUUUAUCAGAUGCUUAGUUUGGGC